GCGUCUCUUUCUGGGCCGUGGAGCUGUCCGCUCUGAAACCUGAGGAAGUCGUAGUUCAGGGAGGGGUAGCUCUUGCACCUAGGCCGUUAGGAACGAGUUUUAGGUUCGAAUCCCAUCUUAUGGAAGGUGGUAUUGGUCCCUUGGGUGUCCCACCCGUCUCAGCCAAACUGCGGGCCAUUUCCCGGGGCGAGCAAGGGGAGUUACCGCGCCAGUGGGUGGACUCGCCGCCUCUCGGAGUCGGGAGGAAGUCGAGCUGGGGUGCAGUUACGAGUCUCAGUUAAUAAUGAAUAGGGUGGCCAAUGGUGGGCCAGGCACAGUGGCUCACGCCUGUAAUCCCAGCACUUUGGGAGGCCGAGGCGGGCGGAUCACGAGGUUAGGAGAUAAGAGACCAGCCUGGCUAAUAUGGUGAAACCUCGUCUUUACUAAAAAUAAAAAAAUUAGCUGGGCAUGGUGGCGGGCGCCUGUAGUCCCGGCUACUCGGGAGGCUGUGGCAGGAGAAUCGCUUGAACCGAGGAGGCAGAGGUUGCAGUGAGCCGACAUCGCGCCACUGCACUCCAGCAUGGCGACAAAGCGAGACUACGUCUCAAACAAACAAACAAACAAACAAACAAAAAAAACAAAAAGAAAAGGAAAAAAAAGGGUGGCCAAUAUAGUGAAACCCCCUCUCUACUAAAAAUACAAAAAUUAGCUGGGCGUGGUGGCGCGCGCCUGUAGUCCCAGCUACUCGGGAGGCUGAGGCAGAAGAAUCGCUUGAAGCCGGGAGGCAAAGGUUGCAGUGACCCGAGAUUGCGCUACUGCACUCCAGCCUGGGCGACAGAGCGAGGUUCCGUCUCGAAAAAAAAAACAACGAAAAGGGGACUCACUUCGGAGAAGCUGCCCUCUCUGCAAACUUAUUUGAGUAAGGGACUGAAGACUGAAGUUAGGGAGAGGAAAGGGAUACACGUCUGUUAGUGCGAGUUGCGUGUCUUGUUAGUGCGAACUGGAACCCAAGUUUCCUUUGGGAAGACUUUGGCGAAAGAGUACAGGAACACCAGCCACUCCAGAAAGAGACCGCUCCUCUUGAACCCGCCCACUUAACUCCUCCCGCAGGCUCUACGUUCGAAUGCCUCCACCCUGAUUUUAGAAGGUUAUAGGCGCACAAUCAAGGAAAUGUCGACAGAGGGCGUCCUUGCUCUAAGCAGCAUUGUCCACCUGCUUCCUGAGCGGGGUUCAGUGAUUAUUCUCUGAACCUGGACUUCUGGCGUUGUGCCUCUAUACUCCAUUUCCCUGCUUCAAAGCUCUCCUAAUUGACUUUAUUUUCUGACACUCCCCCACUUUACCCCCCAGGAGUGUUGCUUCUUUUAUUUCUUUGCCUGGAUGGUCGUUUGGCUUAGUAAAUAGACCUAGACCCCACCCCAUGGUGUAGAAGCAGUUGGUGAACUUCUAUAAAGGGCCAGACAGUACACAUUUUAGGCUCUGCGAUCUCCUUAUGGUUGAAAGUUCUACUGUUGUAGCACAAAAUCAGCCUUGGACAGUAAGCAAAUAGGUGUGGCUGUGUUCCAACAAAACUUCACUGAAAUUUGAAUUUCACUGUAAUUUUCACGUGUCACGAAAUAUUUUAACCGUUUAAAAAUGUAAAAAUAAUGUGUGUGUGUGUGCGCGCGCGUGUUAGCUUGGGCCGCCAGCUAGCAGUAGUUUGCCAAUUCUUGGUAGAGAAAGAGAGCAGUCUCCACCUAGGUCUGGGAAUUCAGGGAGAGAGGUGCUGGCCAAAAUAACAGUUCAUGGCCUGCUUUUCUAGAUCUGGGAGUGAGUAGGACUACUACUAGACUCUCAUUUGACCUCUCCUUUGGGAAUCGCAGGGUAUAUAGUGCCCACUGAUUGGUGGGAAUUUUGUCAAGGUGGGUGUGAUAAUCUGGCUUCUUUCCCUUCCCAGCUCUUUAUAGUCUUUCUUUCUUUUUUAUCGUUCUCUCCCUCUCUCUCUUUAGAGAUGUGGUCUUGCUAUGUUGCCCGGGCUGAGUGCAGUGACUAUUCACAGGCCGGAUCUAGUGCACUGCAGUCUUGAACUCCUGGCUUACAGUCCUGCUGGUUCUGAGAGGCAGGGGAAGAAACGGCCACCAUGCUCUGCAGCUAGGUCUCAGCAUGAGGACCAAGAACCCUGGUGUUCCUCCACUCAUCGGAGCCGUAUCAUUUUGGUGCAUUGGCCAGGAAAGGAAAUUCAAUCAUGAGACUGGUGAGUAUGGAGCGGAUUUCAACUUUAUAUCUGUUCUUUAGUCUCAAGGCUCUCUUCCAGCUACCCUGUCGCCAAAACUUUCUUUCUAUCUGUGGUCUCUCUGUGUGUCUAAUGUGCAGGAUUCUGUCUGUUAGAAAAGAUCGUGAAUCACGGCAUGCAGUAACUCAAUAAGUGUCUCUCUCUCUCUCUACGUUUUCUCUGGCAAGCACAUGGUAUUUCUAAGCCACCUAGUAGAAAUCAGGCUGUAGGCCUCUUCUAAGAAUGGGAAGUUUCUGCUUUUAACAGUUAGGAGUAGGAUGUCUUCCAUGGCCAAAUUUUAGUCUCAAUAUUGUCCCACUGGCAGGAAAACGGCCAUUCAGUUCCUAUGUUCCUUUAAGCCAUCUAUUCUGGCUCCUACUAAGACAGUGCUUAAUUAGUAAGGGGAUUUUAAGUCCAGAAGUUAACCGGAACCAUUCUUCUAUGGGUAAAUGCUUUAGCAUGGGCUAUAAUGGCAGGAUAUAGAGUUCAAUCUAUCACAUCCCCUCCCUUAAAGGGUCUCUUCCCAAUUACAUGGUUUUUCUUCAAAUCCAUUUUUUGGGAGGCACACAGGCCACCCAAGUCUAGGAGGUCAAAGGUAAAUAAAAGGCAGAGAACUGAUUGCUUGGGAACAGCGUGA
This 2864-nucleotide long non-coding RNA is filed under the name Homo sapiens (human). Its description in RNAcentral is "non-protein coding lnc-TRPV2-4:2". Lineage: Eukaryota; Metazoa; Chordata; Mammalia; Primates; Hominidae. The record is from RNAcentral.